UUCCCCUACGGGGGGCAGCAGUGAGGAAUAUUGGUCAAUGGGAGAGAUCCUGAACCAGCCAAGCCGCGUGAGGGAAGACGGCCCUAUGGGUUGUAAACCUCUUUUGUCGGGGAGCAAGACCCGCCACGAGUGGCGGAGCGAGAGUACCCGAAGAAAAAGCAUCGGCUAACUCCGAGCCAGCAGCCGCGGUAAUACGGAGGAUGCGAGCGUUAUCCGGAUUUAUUGGGUUUAAAGGGUGCGCAGGCGGACCAUCCAGUCAGCGGUAAAAUCGUGGGGCCCAACCACAUCCCGCCGUUGAAACUGGG
RNAcentral lists this ribosomal RNA (305 nucleotides) under uncultured bacterium. Its description in RNAcentral is "bacterial SSU rRNA". It matches the Rfam family "Bacterial small subunit ribosomal RNA", at positions 334 to 637 of the family's 1533-position model. The record is from RNAcentral.